This 873-nucleotide ribosomal RNA is filed under the name uncultured bacterium. RNAcentral describes it as "bacterial SSU rRNA". It matches the Rfam family "Bacterial small subunit ribosomal RNA", at positions 8 to 837 of the family's 1533-position model. The record is from RNAcentral.
AGAGUUUGAUCCUGGCUCAGGAUGAACGCUGGCGGCGUGCCUAAUACAUGCAAGUCGAACGCUUUGUGCUGAAUUGAUAUGACGAGCUUGCUCUGAUUUGAUUUUUUGAUUUCAAAGAGUGGCGAACGGGUGAGUAACACGUAGGUAACCUACCUCUUAGCAGGGGAUAACAUUUGGAAACAAGUGCUAAUACCGUAUAAUACCAACAACCGCAUGGUUGUUGGUUGAAAGAUGGUUCUGCUAUCACUAAGAGAUGGACCCGCGGUGCAUUAGCUAGUUGGUAAGGUAAUGGCUUACCAAGGCAAUGAUGCAUAGCCGAGUUGAGAGACUGAUCGGCCACAAUGGGACUGAGACACGGCCCAUACUCCUACGGGAGGCAGCAGUAGGGAAUCUUCCACAAUGGGCGCAAGCCUGAUGGAGCAACGCCGCGUGUGUGAUGAAGGGUUUCGGCUCGUAAAACACUGUUAUAAGAGAAGAACGGCACUGAGAGUAACUGUUCAGUGUGUGACGGUAUCUUACCAGAAAGGAACGGCUAAAUACGUGCCAGCAGCCGCGGUAAUACGUAUGUUCCAAGCGUUAUCCGGAUUUAUUGGGCGUAAAGCGAGCGCAGACGGUUAUUUAAGUCUGAAGUGAAAGCCCUCAGCUCAACUGAGGAAUUGCUUUGGAAACUGGAUGACUUGAGUGCAGUAGAGGAAAGUGGAACUCCAUGUGUAGCGGUGAAAUGCGUAGAUAUAUGGAAGAACACCAGUGGCGAAGGCGGCUUUCUGGACUGUAACUGACGUUGAGGCUCGAAAGUGUGGGUAGCAAACAGGAUUAGAUACCCUGGUAGUCCACACCGUAAACGAUGAGUGCUAGAUGUUCGAGGGUUUCCGC